GGAGAUGGAAGUUUUAGAUGAAACACUUAAUUGCAGUCCAAGUGGUGGAACAGAUGAAAUGCCUAACUGUGAUCGAAGUGUUGGAACAGAUGAAACACCUAAUUGCAGUCCAAGUGGAGGAACAAAAGAAAUGCUUAAUUGUGAUCGAAUUUUUGGAACAGAUGAAAUACUUAAUUGCAAUCAAAGUAUCGGAACAUAUGAAUCGCCUAAUUGCAAUCAAAAUAUCAGAACAUAUGAAUCGCCUAAUUGCAAUCAAAGUAUUGAAAGAUAUGAAACAUUAAAUUGCAAUCAAAGUGUUGGAACAUAUGAAACGUCUAUUUGCGAUCAAAGUGUUGGAGCAGAUGAAACGUUUAAUUGUGAUCAAAGUGUUGGAACAGAUGAAACACCUAUUUGCGAUCAAAGUGUUGGAACAGAUGAAACAAUUGAUGAAGAAGAUAAUAGUGUGAAUGAAAUUAAGAAAGUGCAUGACCAGAAAAUUGUAGAAAU
RNAcentral lists this long non-coding RNA (486 nucleotides) under Zostera marina. Its description in RNAcentral is "long non-coding RNA (ZMAR_LNC000028)". The record is from RNAcentral. Lineage: Eukaryota; Viridiplantae; Streptophyta; Magnoliopsida; Alismatales; Zosteraceae.